RNAcentral lists this unclassified non-coding RNA (482 nucleotides) under Pleosporales sp. 566H. RNAcentral describes it as "sequence contains 18S rRNA gene, ITS1, 5.8S rRNA gene, ITS2, 28S rRNA gene". The stretch from base 181 to 334 matches the Rfam family "5.8S ribosomal RNA". Lineage: Eukaryota; Fungi; Ascomycota; Dothideomycetes; Pleosporales. The record is from RNAcentral.
UUNCCUUUCUAUCAGGGGAGCUGGCUUUUNNCAUGGGGUUUGGCCNUCGCUCUUUCGCCUCUCCCUCCUGAUUCUACCCUUGUCUUUUGCGCACCAGAUGUUUCCUCGGCAGGCUUGCUACNGAGNGNAANUCCAAACCUUUGUACUUGCAGUCAGCGUCAGUAACAAAUUAAUCAUUACAACUUUCAACAACGGAUCUCUUGGUUCUGGCAUCGAUGAAGAACGCAGCGAAAUGCGAUAAGUAGUGUGAAUUGCAGAAUUCAGUGAAUCAUCGAAUCUUUGAACGCACAUUGCGCCCCUUGGUAUUCCAUGGGGCAUGCCUGUUCGAGCGUCAUUUGUACCCUCAAGCUCUGCUUGGUGUUGGGUGAUUGUUCCUUGAACUCACCCCAAAACAAUUGGCAGCCGGCAUAUUGGCCUGGACGCAGCACAUCUNGCAUUNNUGUNUAUNUUNGUUGGCACCCAUCAAGGCAUUUUCNUUGCUC